RNAcentral lists this ribosomal RNA (403 nucleotides) under Acanthodactylus boskianus (Bosk's fringe-fingered lizard). RNAcentral's name for it is "partial 12S ribosomal RNA". It matches the Rfam family "Bacterial small subunit ribosomal RNA", at positions 801 to 1414 of the family's 1533-position model. Lineage: Eukaryota; Metazoa; Chordata; Lepidosauria; Squamata; Lacertidae. The record is from RNAcentral.
AUUGAUAGCCCUCCCACCACGCUAUCCGCCAGAGAACUACUAGUGAAAAACUUAAAACUCAAAGGACUUGGCGGUGUCCCAUUUCGGCCUAGAGGAGCCUGUCCUGUAAUCGACACUCCCCGUUCCACCCAACCUCCACUUGCACAUUCAGCCUAUAUACCGCCGUCGACAGUCUACCCCAUGAGGGUCUUUUAGUAGACACAAUAGCAACAACUCGCUAAUACGUCAGGUCAAGGUGUAGCAAAUGUUGAGGCAGAGAUUGGCUACAUUUUUUAUUUCAAAACAAACGAAAUGCAACAUGAAACAUUGCACGAAGGUGAAUUUAGUAGUAAAAUGAACAAGAGCGUCCAUUUUAACACCGCUCUGGGACGCGCACACACCGCCCGUCACCCUCUGCAGUCAA